UGAAAGUAAUAUUUAUCUUUUUUUAACUUUCAAGUUCCAAAUAUGGUUUCAUUUGGAAAAUGGACAGUGCCUUGGAAGGAGGAUGCUGUGGUAACAGAUCAGAAAGGUGGCUCUUUCAGCAAUGACCUGCUCAACGCGCUUGGAACAACAGCUCAGGCAUUAUAGAGUAGCAGAGGUCUGCAGGAGCAUGUACCAAAGACCAGAGAUAUACAAGACACAAUCCGAACACAGGAACUGGAAAC
Molecule: long non-coding RNA, 242 nt
Organism: Corvus hawaiiensis (hawaiian crow)
Lineage: Eukaryota; Metazoa; Chordata; Aves; Passeriformes; Corvidae
Exons: 3
Source: RefSeq, a predicted model, not a curated record